Arabidopsis thaliana (thale cress) is the source of this 1340-nucleotide long non-coding RNA. RefSeq annotates it as other RNA. NCBI's taxonomy places the organism in Eukaryota, Viridiplantae, Streptophyta, Magnoliopsida, Brassicales, Brassicaceae. The transcript has a single exon. The record is from RefSeq.
AUGACUCCAAAGUCAUAAUAAAGUCACCGAAAGUGAAUCAUGAUUUGAAGAAGAUAAAGGAGUCAGGAGUGGAACUGCUUUCCUUGGUAUGUCAUUCCGAAGCGCCAAUACGGAGGAGCCACAUCAUAAGAGGCAAUGGUUUUGCCGCCUUUGAGAGUAACCUCGAAAGAGAGAGACUGUCCGAUGAGAUCGAGAGAGGAGUGCCAGUUCUGUCCCCAGUUUCUGGCCAUUGGGAUCCAAGCCGUUGUGUGGCCCUUCACUUUCACACCAACCACUUCCCCGUCGAGGCCCACAUUGCUUAUCAACACCUGGAAAAAGUGGGAGCUCCCGCUCAAGCUGAAUCUCAACCCGCCUCUCCGCCCACACUUGACCCUCCUAUACUGUAUAGGUAUCAUCUCAGCUCUGGUUUCUGCGAUCCCUGUGAAGGCGGCAUGAGAUAGUUCCAAGUGUUCCUUUGGGAAGUUGCACCAACCUCCGUAAUCGGAGGAGAGUCCCGAAUUGGGAGGACAGAAAUCGGUGGCGGUGACCACCACGGAGGGGCUGCCUUGAAGACACCAACGGAUGUGGUUCACGCACCGCACUUCUAGACAAGCUCCGCAGCUGCUUCCCCUGUUGAACAGCUUCCCGCUCAGGCCUGCGCUGUAGCCGGCAAAGCUGCUCUGCCUCAGAUCUCCAUACCCACAAGCGCCUCCUAUCAGAACCAAUUAGUCUAGUUAGUCCUGAUGAAAGAAGAAAGAAAAAUAGGGGGGAGAGAGAGAAAAGAGAACCAGUAGCGACGGAGGAGGAGCCGUCUCUGUCUCUAGAAAGCGUGGCUGUGGCUAUCUUCCAGUCAUCUUCGGCAGUGGCUUGAAAGAGGCGGCAGAGAAUGAAGAAGAGGCACAAUGCGAGUUGCUGAAGCCCAGAAUCCAUGAACAAGAAGUGUUGUUGGGAUCCUCACAGUCAGUCACAGGUGGCAGACAAAAGUGAUGCGUUUGAGAGAGUUUUGGGGGUUCCUUUUGAUCAUCAGGCUCCGCUUUUCAAGACUUGUGGGGAUGCGACAAAAGAUUGCUCUGACAUGUUUUGACUUUGACAGUCCGUUUCAGACCAAUUAUAAUAAAAAAACAAAAAAGGGAACAACUAUACGUUUUCCAGGCCCAUCUCAUUCGGAGGCCCACUUUCAAUACGACACAGAAUCAAGACAAGAGACGCAAGACGAACUUCUUGAGCCCUUUUGUUAAUUCAAUGGGCCCUCACUAAGAAGCCCAUAAUAAAAUAAAAUAAGUUCUAUUUUCAAACAUUGUACUAUUACUUUUUGUACCGGCCGUGUUUAUUCAAUUCUCGUAUUUGUAAGAAUUUAUAAA